Molecule: ribosomal RNA, 716 nt
Filed under: uncultured bacterium
Lineage: Bacteria
Description: bacterial SSU rRNA
Rfam family: Bacterial small subunit ribosomal RNA
Source: RNAcentral
GGGAUAAUCCGGAGAAAUCCGGUCUAAUACCGCAUAAUAUCGUGAAUCUGCAUGGAUUUGCGAUUAAAGGAGCGAUCCGGUGACGGAUGGGCAUGCGUGACAUUAGCUAGUCGGCGGGGUAACGGCCCACCGAGGCGACGAUGUCUAGGGGUUCUGAGAGGAAGGUCCCCCACACUGGUACUGAGACACGGACCAGACUCCUACGGGAGGCAGCAGUGAGGAAUAUUGGUCAAUGGGCUUACGCCUGAACCAGCCAAGUCGCGUGAGGGAAGACUGCCCUAUGGGUUGUAAACCUCUUUUGUCAGGGAGCAACGCCGGCUACGUGUAGCCGGACUGAGAGUACCUGAAGAAAAAGCAUCGGCUAACUCCGUGCCAGCAGCCGCGGUAAUACGGAGGAUGCGAGCGUUAUCCGGAUUUAUUGGGUUUAAAGGGUGCGUAGGCGGAAUGCCAAGUCAGCGGUAAAAUCGCGGGGCUCAACCUCGCUCCGCCGUUGAAACUGGCGUUCUUGAGUGGGCGAGAAGUAUGCGGAAUGCGUGGUGUAGCGGUGAAAUGCAUAGAUAUCACGCAGAACUCCGAUUGCGAAGGCAGCAUACCGGCGCCCAACUGACGCUGAAGCACGAAAGCGUGGGUAUCGAACAGGAUUAGAUACCCUGGUAGUCCACGCAGUAAACGAUGAAUACUAGCUGUUCGGGGCAAAUGAGCCUUGAGUGGCACAG